AUGGACGAAAGUCUGAUGGAGCAACGCCGCGUGAGCGAAGAAGGCCUUCGGGUCGUAAAGCUCUGUUGUUAGGGAAGAACAAGUAUCGGAGUAACUGCCGGUACCUUGACGGUACCUAACCAGAAAGCCACGGCUAACUACGUGCCAGCAGCCGCGGUAAUACGUAGGUGGCAAGCGUUGUCCGGAAUUAUUGGGCGUAAAGCGCGCGCAGGCGGUCCUUUAAGUCUGAUGUGAAAGCCCACGGCUCAACCGUGGAGGGUCAUUGGAAACUGGGGGACUUGAGUGCAGAAGAGGAAAGCGGAAUUCCACGUGUAGCGGUGAAAUGCGUAGAGAUGUGGAGGAACACCAGUGGCGAAGGCGGCUUUCUGGUCUGUAACUGACGCUGAGGCGCGAAAGCGUGGGGAGCAAACAGGAUUAGAUACCCUGGUAGUCCACGCCGUAAACGAUGAGUGCUAAGUGUUAGGGGGUUUCCGCCCCUUAGUGCUGCAGCUAACGCAUUAAGCACUCCGCCUGGGGAGUACGG
This 523-nucleotide ribosomal RNA is filed under the name uncultured bacterium. Its description in RNAcentral is "bacterial SSU rRNA". It matches the Rfam family "Bacterial small subunit ribosomal RNA", at positions 371 to 885 of the family's 1533-position model. The record is from RNAcentral.